AAAAAAAAUUUGAUUUUGGUUUAAAAAAAUUGGUUUUGGAUUGUUAUGCAUGUAAGUUUUUGUAAGAUUAAAUUUCCUAAAUGGAUUAAAAUUUAUUUUCAGUGUUUAAAUUUUAUAAUUUUUUUUUUUAAAAUUAAGCAAUUUUAAAUAUUUCAGUAUAAUUAUGUGCCAGCAUUCGCGGUUAAACAUCAUGAAAAAAUAAUUUAAUUUUGGUAAUCAGUUUUUUUUAUAAGAAUUUGUUUAUUUAGGUGAAAUUUAUAUUUAAAAUUUUUUUUUUACUGAAUACACUUUUUUUUAAACCAGGAUUAGAUACCCUGUUAUUUAAGAUUAAUAAAUUUUCCGGGUAGUAAAUUUUUUUUUAAAUUCAAUAAAUUUGGCGGUUUUUAAAUCUAAUUAGAGGAACCUGUAAUUUAAAUGAUAAUCCACGAUUAAUUUUACCUUUAUUUUUUUUGUAUAUCUCUGUUGUUGAAUGUAUUGAAAAAUUAAUUUUCUUUUUUUUUAUAAAAUUUAUGUUAGGUCAAGGUGCAAUUAUAUUUAGGUUAUUAUGGGUUACAUUAAUAUUGUUUGGAAAAAAUUAUUUAUAUAAAUAAUUUAAAUUUGGAUUUAAAAGUAAUUAAUUUUAUUAAAAUUUUUGAAUAAUGCUCUUAAUUAUGUACAUAUCGCCCGUCACUCUCAUAUAGUGAGAUAAGUCGUAACAAAGUAGAUGUACUGGAAAGUGUAUCUAGAAA
Molecule: non-coding RNA, 728 nt
Filed under: Loxocephala perpunctata
Lineage: Eukaryota; Metazoa; Arthropoda; Insecta; Hemiptera; Eurybrachidae
Source: RNAcentral